Molecule: ribosomal RNA, 366 nt
Filed under: uncultured bacterium
Lineage: Bacteria
Description: bacterial SSU rRNA
Rfam family: Bacterial small subunit ribosomal RNA
Source: RNAcentral
CAGCAGUGAGGAAGGUGGGUAUGUUAAUAGCAUACUCAUUUGACGUUAGCUGCAGAAGAAGCACCGGCUAACUCCGUGCCAGCAGCCGCGGUAAUACGGAGGGUGCGAGCGUUAAUCGGAAUUACUGGGCGUAAAGCGCAUGCAGGUGGUUUGUUAAGUCAGAUGUGAAAGCCCGGGGCUCAACCUCGGAAUUGCAUUUGAAACUGGCAAACUAGAGUACUGUAGAGGGGGUAGAAUUUCAGGUGUAGCGGUGAAAUGCGUAGAGAUCUGAAGGAAUACCGGUGGCGAAGGCGGCCCCCCUGGACAGAUACUGACACUCACGAUGCGAAAGCGUGGGGAGCAAACAGGAUUAGAUACCCUGGGUAG